Molecule: ribosomal RNA, 467 nt
Filed under: uncultured bacterium
Lineage: Bacteria
Description: partial 16S ribosomal RNA
Rfam family: Bacterial small subunit ribosomal RNA
Source: RNAcentral
GAUGAAUGCUGGCGGCGUGCCUAACACAUGCAAGUCGAGCGGCAGCGCGAGGAGUUUACUCCCUGGCGGCGAGCGGCGGACGGCUGAGUAACGCGUGGGAACGUGCCCCAAAGUGAGGAAUAACUGCCCGAAAGGGUGGCUAAUACCGCAUAUGAUCUUCGGAUUAAAGUCUUCGGACGCUUUGGGAGCGGCCCGCGUCGGAUUAGGUUGUUGGUGAGGUAAUGGCUCACCAAGCCGACGAUCCGUAGCUGGUCUGAGAGGAUGAUCAGCCAGACUGGGACUGAGACACGGCCCAGACUCCUACGGGAGGCAGCAGUGAGGAAUCUUCCACAAUGGGCGAAAGCCUGAUGGAGCAACGCCGCGUGAAGGAUGAAGGCCCUCGGGUUGUAAACUUCUUUUAUAAGUGAAGAAUAUGACGGUAACUUAUGAAUAAGCACCGGCUAACUACGUGCCAGCAGCCGCCGUAA